Molecule: ribosomal RNA, 245 nt
Filed under: uncultured bacterium
Lineage: Bacteria
Description: partial 16S ribosomal RNA
Rfam family: Bacterial small subunit ribosomal RNA
Source: RNAcentral
UGGCGACCGGCGCACGGGUGAGUAACGCGUAUCCAACCUGCCUUACACUCUUGGACAACCUUCUGAAAGGGAGAUUAAUACAAGAUGUUAUCAUGAGUAAGCAUUUUCACAUGAUUAAAGGUUUACCGGUGUAAGAUGGGGAUGCGUUCCAUUAGAUAGUAGGCGGGGUAACGGCCCACCUAGUCUUCGAUGGAUAGGGGUUCUGAGAGGAAGGUCCCCCACAUUGGAACUGAGACACGGUCCAA